Molecule: ribosomal RNA, 301 nt
Filed under: uncultured bacterium
Lineage: Bacteria
Description: partial 16S ribosomal RNA
Rfam family: Bacterial small subunit ribosomal RNA
Source: RNAcentral
CAGUCGCCGCGGUAAUACGAAGGGGGCUAGCGUUGUUCGGAUUUACUGGGCGUAAAGGGCGCGUAGGCGGACUGAUAAGUCAGGGGUGAAAUCCCAAGGCUCAACCUUGGAACUGCCUUUGAUACUGUUUGUCUUGAGUUCGAGAGAGGUAAGUGGAACUGCGAGUGUAGAGGUGAAAUUCGUAGAUAUUCGCAAGAACACCAGUGGCGAAGGCGGCUUACUGGCUCGAAACUGACGCUGAGGCGCGAAAGCGUGGGGAGCAAACAGGAUUAGAUACCCCAGUAGUCCCUGUCUCUUAUAA